GAUGAACGCUAGCUACAGGCUUAACACAUGCAAGUCGCGGGCAGCAUGUCGGUUGCUUGCAACCGAUGAUGGCGACCGGCGCACGGGUGAGUAACGCGUAUCCAACCUGCCCUUCACCACGGAAUAAUCCAGUGAAAAUUGGUCUAAUACCGUAUGAGGUCAUACGAUGGCAUCAGAAUAUGACGAAAGGUUUGGCGGUGAAGGAUGGGGAUGCGUCUGAUUAGCUUGUUGGUGAGGUAACGGCUCACCAAGGCGACGAUCAGUAGGGUUCUGAGAGGAAGGUCCCCCACAUUGGAACUGAGACACGGUCCAAACUUCCUACGGGAGCAGCAGUGAGGAAUAUUGGUCAAUGGACGGGAGUCUGAACCAGCCAAGUAGCGUGCAGGACGACGGCCCUAUGGGUUGUAAAC
This 410-nucleotide ribosomal RNA is filed under the name uncultured bacterium. RNAcentral describes it as "bacterial SSU rRNA". It matches the Rfam family "Bacterial small subunit ribosomal RNA", at positions 28 to 430 of the family's 1533-position model. The record is from RNAcentral.